This 28-nucleotide non-coding RNA is filed under the name Homo sapiens (human). The record is from RNAcentral. Lineage: Eukaryota; Metazoa; Chordata; Mammalia; Primates; Hominidae.
UGUGAAUGAAAUCUGAUUCUCAAUGGGG